CCUACGGGGGGCAGCAGUAGGGAAUCUUCCACAAUGGACGAAAGUCUGAUGGAGCAACGCCGCGUGAGUGAAGAAGGGUUUCGGGUCGUAAAGCUCUUUUGGUAGUGAAGAAAGAUAGAGGUAGUAACUGGCCUUUAUUUGACGGUAGUUACUUAGAAAGUCACGGCUAACUCCGUUCCAGCAGCCGCGGUAAGACGUAGGUGGCAAGCGUUGUCCGGAUUUAUUGGGCGUAACGCGAGUGCAGGCGGUUCAAUAAGUCUGAUGUGAAAGUCUUCGGCUCAACCGGAGAAUUGCAUCAGAAACUGUUUAACUUGAGUGCAGAAGAGGAGAGUGGAACUCGAGGUGUAGCGGUGGAAUGCGUAGAUAUAUGGAAGAACACCAGUGGCGAAGGCGGCUCUCUGGUCUGCAACUGACGCUGAGGCUCGAAAGCAUGGGUAGCGAACAGGAUUAGAUACCCGUGUAGUC
This 465-nucleotide ribosomal RNA is filed under the name uncultured bacterium. Its description in RNAcentral is "partial 16S ribosomal RNA". It matches the Rfam family "Bacterial small subunit ribosomal RNA", at positions 338 to 795 of the family's 1533-position model. The record is from RNAcentral.